UGGUGGAGCGAUUUGUCUGGUUAAUUCCGAUAACGAACGAGACUCUGGCCUACUAAAUAGUGAGCGGAUCUUCGGGUCCGCAGUACUUCUUAGAGGGACAAGCAGCUUUUAGCUGCAUGAAAAAGAGCAAUAACA
RNAcentral lists this ribosomal RNA (135 nucleotides) under uncultured eukaryote. Its description in RNAcentral is "partial 18S ribosomal RNA". It matches the Rfam family "Eukaryotic small subunit ribosomal RNA", at positions 1299 to 1458 of the family's 1831-position model. The record is from RNAcentral.